Fragaria vesca subsp. vesca is the source of this 1729-nucleotide RNA transcript. It is a transcript of the gene named serine/threonine protein phosphatase 2A 57 kDa regulatory subunit B' alpha isoform-like, with no coding region annotated. The record is from RefSeq and is a predicted model, not a curated record. The transcript has 2 exons. NCBI's taxonomy places the organism in Eukaryota, Viridiplantae, Streptophyta, Magnoliopsida, Rosales, Rosaceae.
AUGUUCAAGAAAAUCAUCAAGGGAAAUAAAAAGACCCCAAAGUCUGAUUCUCAUGAUCCUUCCUCCUUCGCCUACGGCCCCCCGGGGCCCGCAAUUCCGGGGCCGUUUCGGCUAAUGUGGUCGUGAACCAUGCUUCCCGUGCCGGCCCCACCGCCUCCGGCCCCAACUCCGGCGGGCCCAAUCCCGUCCUGCCCCCUUCCGGAACCAUCGAGCCUCUCCCUUUGUUUAGGGACGUCCCUGUUUCGGACCGGCAAACAUUGUUCCUCAGGAAAUUGCAGGUGUGCUGUUUUCAUUUCGAUUUUUCGGAUACGCUCAAGGCGCCGAGGGAGAAGGAGAUUAAGCGGCAGACGCUGUUGGAGUUGGUUGAUUUUAUUCAGUCUGGUUCGGGGAAGAUCACCGAGACUUGUCAGGAGGAAAUGAUAAAGAUGGUUUCGGUUAAUAUAUUCCGGUGCUUGCCCCCGGCUUGUCAUGAGAAUACUGGCCAGGAGAAUGUGGAUCCUGAGGAGGAGGAGCUGUAUUUGGAGCCGUCCUGGCCGCAUUUGCAGUUGGUUUAUGAGCUGCUGCUUAGAUACAUUGUGUCCUCUGAUACUGAUACCAAGGUGGCCAAGCGAUAUAUUGAUCACUCGUUUGUGUUGAAGCUGCUGGAUUUGUUUGAUUCGGAGGAUCCGCGUGAGCGGGAGUAUUUGAAGAACAUUCUUCACCGUAUAUAUGGGAAGUUUAUGGUGCACCGCCCCUUUAUAAGGAAGGCUAUCAAUAAUAUAUUCUAUCGGUUUAUCUAUGAGACAGAGAGGCACAGUGGGAUUGCUGAGCUGUUAGAGAUUCUUGGGAGUAUAAUUAAUGGGUUUGCACUUCCGAUGAAAGAGGAGCAUAAGCUGUUUCUUGUCCGAGCACUUAUUCCGCUGCAUAAGCCUAAGCCGAUUGCAGUGUAUCACCAGCAGCUGUCCUACUGCAUAACUCAAUUUGUUGAAAAGGAUUACAAGCUGGCGGAUACUGUUAUACGGGGAUUGUUGAAGUACUGGCCAGUGACCAACUGCCAGAAGGAAGUUCUUUUCCUUGGAGAACUUGAAGAAGUUCUGGAAGCAACACAAGCUGCAGAAUUUCAACGAUGCAUGGUUCCUCUCUUCAGGCAGAUUGCCCGCUGCCUCAACAGCUCUCAUUUUCAGGUUGCAGAACGAGCACUCUUUUUGUGGAACAAUGAGCACAUUGUGAGUUUAAUUGCUCAGAACCGGAAUGUUAUAUUGCCGAUUAUUUUUGAGGCAUUGGAGAACAAUAUUUCAACUCAUUGGAACCAAGCAGUUCAUGGGCUCACUGUCAAUGUUCGGAAAAUGUUUUUGGAAAUGGAUGCCGAUCUGUUUGAAGAGUGCCAAAGGCAGCUUGCAGAGAGAGAGGCAAGGGCCAAGGAGGUGGAAGAACAGCGGGAGAUGACAUGGAAAAAACUGGCUGAUGCAGCCGGAGAGGAUAUGAUUACAGCCUAAAUGAUCAACCAGGGUUUCCAUGUACCUGCCGGCACUGGAAAGUGAAUGGAAGGAAGAUAACAAGUCUGCUCCACCUCUCAUUUUGGUGGUAUUCUUUUUAAUUAUUUUUUUUUGCGUUUUAAUUUUUUGAUCUCGAUUCCAGUCGUUGAAGAUAUCAGAAGAAGCGGUGAUAAUGUAAUUUAAGCUGUACGGAAUUUGUUAGCAACAUGCUGCAGAUUAAGAAUGAUUUGUGAAAUAUAUUCUGUAUUACCCUU